UGGACUCUGGGAUAAGCGCUGGAAACGGCGUCUAAUACUGGAUAUGAGCCUCUAUCGCAUGGUGGGGGUUGGAAAGAUUUUUUGGUCUGGGAUGGGCUCGCGGCCUAUCAGCUUGUUGGUGAGGUAAUGGCUCACCAAGGCGUCGACGGGUAGCCGGCCUGAGAGGGUGACCGGCCACACUGGGACUGAGACACGGCCCAGACUCCUACGGGAGGCAGCAGUGGGGAAUAUUGCACAAUGGGCGGAAGCCUGAUGCAGCAACGCCGCGUGAGGGAUGACGGCCUUCGGGUUGUAAACCUCUUUUAGCAGGGAAGAAGCGAGAGUGACGGUACCUGCAGAAAAAGCGCCGGCUAACUACGUGCCAGCAGCCGCGGUAAUACGUAGGGCGCAAGCGUUAUCCGGAAUUAUUGGGCGUAAAGAGCUCGUAGGCGGUUUGUCGCGUCUGCUGUGAAAUCCCGAGGCUCAACCUCGGGCCUGCAGUGGGUACGGGCAGACUAGAGUGCGGUAGGGGAGAUUGGAAUUCCUGGUGUAGCGGUGGAAUGCGCAGAUAUCAGGAGGAACACCGAUGGCGAAGGCAGAUCUCUGGGCCGUAACUGACGCUGAGGAGCGAAAGGGUGGGGAGCAAACAGGCUUAGAUACCCUGGUAGUCCACCCCGUAAACGUUG
This 665-nucleotide ribosomal RNA is filed under the name Microbacterium testaceum. RNAcentral describes it as "bacterial SSU rRNA". It matches the Rfam family "Bacterial small subunit ribosomal RNA", at positions 132 to 811 of the family's 1533-position model. The record is from RNAcentral. Lineage: Bacteria; Bacillati; Actinomycetota; Actinomycetes; Micrococcales; Microbacteriaceae.